CCUACGGGUGGCAGCAGUGGGGAAUAUUGGACAAUGGGGGAAACCCUGAUCCAGCGACGCCGCGUGAGUGAAGAAGUAUUUCGGUACGUAAAGCUCUAUCAGCAGGAAAGAAAAUGACGGUACCUGACUAAGAAGCCCCGGCUCACUACGUGCCAGCAGCUGCGGUAUUCGUUAGGGGCAAAGGUUUUCCGGGUUUACUGGGGGUAAAGGGAGCGGUGAUGGCAGCGGAAGUUUGGAGGGAAAUGCCGGGGCCCAACCCCGGAACUGUUUUGGAAACUGGGAAGCUGGAGUGCAGGAGAGGUAAGCGGAAUUCCUGGUGUAGCGGUGAAAUGCGUAGAUAUCAGGAGGAACACCGGCGGCGAAGGCGGCUGACUGGACUGUAACUGACGUUGAGGCUCGAAGGCGUGGGGAGCAAACAGGAUUAGAUACCCGAGUAGUC
RNAcentral lists this ribosomal RNA (439 nucleotides) under uncultured bacterium. RNAcentral describes it as "partial 16S ribosomal RNA". It matches the Rfam family "Bacterial small subunit ribosomal RNA", at positions 338 to 795 of the family's 1533-position model. The record is from RNAcentral.